This 831-nucleotide long non-coding RNA is filed under the name Cricetulus griseus (Chinese hamster). Its description in RNAcentral is "lncRNA (ENSCGRG00015041747.1)". The record is from RNAcentral. Lineage: Eukaryota; Metazoa; Chordata; Mammalia; Rodentia; Cricetidae.
GGGACAAGCAGGAAAUCAUUCUCUUCCUCUUCCUCUCUUCUCUGUGAAGUCACCAUGUGAUCGCCAGGAAGACAGGACACACAUGGUAUGCUGGAUGCAUUGUGAAGAUAUUCACCUCUCAAACUUGGAGGCCAAGGACUCCGUUUAUUCCCACUUUGCAUUCCCAGCUCCUCCAACACGGAAGAAGCUUCCACAUCUGGGUGAUGGACGUAAAACUAAGCCAGAGCAUCCGGUAUAAUUAAAGGGAUCAGUUUCAUCAGUAGUGAUAGCUGACGAAAAGGCAGCCCGCUAGGUGGAAGGCUCUGGGAGUCAAAGAGAACAUUUGUGCGACUACGGACGUGGGACCCAGAAAUUAGCCUUUGUCUGCACCAAUCAGGGGCUGAGGAUACAAAGCGCUCAGCGGCCGAAGAGCCGAGCAACUGAGGAGCCCAAGGGCCGAGGGGUUGAGCGGCUAAGGAUAAAAUGAGCCAAGGCUACAACAAGCGGAAGGGCCGAAGAGCGGAGACGUGGAAGCGCUCGGGUUUCCCAACUCCAGGAAGCGAAAGGGAGAACUCACCUGGAAGCGGCCGCGCCACCUGCAGAGCCUCAGCCUAUUUGGCGAGCGCCCGCGUGGGUGGGCGGGCCUGAAGCGUGGCCACACCUUCUGGGCCCGGUCACGCCCCCUACGGCGUGCGCGUCCCCGCCCGGCGCCGCCUCGCGCAUGCGCCGUCAGCGGGAGACGGAGGUUGUGGGCGGCGGUGGCCACCGGGCGCGCGCUCUGGCUCUCGCCGUCGUUCCCUCUCGCUGGGUUCGCGUUCGCGCGCCGGGGCCGUGGCAGCAGCGGCAGCGGCA